GACAUUUACAAGAACUGGCGGCGGCAGCAGCAGCAGCAGCAGCAGCAGCAGCAGCAGCAGCAGCAGCAGCAACUGGAUUUGCUUUUUCACCAGAGGAUCCAGAUUUCCCUGUGGCCUCGCAAACAAAAAAGAAGGAAGACGGAGCAGCACAGUCAUUCCUUUGUGAAAAAGGCAUUCAGAGACGGGGUUUCACCGUGUUAGCCAGGAUGGUCUCGAUCUCCUGACCUCGCGAUCCGCCCGCCUCGGCCUCCCAAAGUGCUGGGAUUACAGGCGUGAGCCACCGCGCCCGGCUUCAGCUGGUUUUUCAAAAGUCAUGGCGUGUAACUGUCCGAACAGUGAACUUCGGAGAUCCACCGGAGGGGCGAGGCCACAGCUCGACCGCGAGCACCUGAGCAUCCUGCACCGCCUGCGACGGCCGUCAGGGGGCGCGAUGCCGCCUCACAGAACCUCAAGAGGCGCCCGGGUUCCGGCACAGACGGCCUGCGGCUCCAGGGGGCGGAACCGAGCCGUCUCCUCAGGACCUACGCAGGAGGCGCCGUCAUCCCUACAGGGACACCUGAGAGGGCCCAGCCUCCUCCUCCUCAGGACCUACUCGGGAGACGCCGCUGGCUCUCUAGGAACACCUGGGGACCGUGGCCAGGGACGACCCAGCCUCCUUCUCCUCAGCUCCUCAGGAACGACUGGGGAAGCUGUGGCUUCAUGGUCCCCGAGGCUGCCCGAGGAAAGGUAUUUCAGGACAGCCAGGAGGGGGCGCACAUCCGCCGCGAAACUGUGAGCAAGAGCGUCUGUGCUGAACCAUGGCGCCACCAGAGGGCGCGCGAUCCCGCCCCAACCAACUUCCCGCUGAAGUGCCAGAAGCAGCGAGGAGCUUCAACUUCCUCAGGGCAGCACGGGGGUCGUGUUAAUUUGGUGUUCUUCAUUGAUGAUGAUUAUUCCCCACCUUCUAAGAGACAAAGACCAACGAGCCACCACAGCCACCAGUCCCAGAACCUGCCAAUGCUGGGGAACGGAAAAUGAGGGAGUUCAACUCUGGCCCUCACAAUCCAGUGGAGGAGACGAAACUCAUCUGCCUCUGUCCCUCUGGGCACGCCUCAUGCCAGGUGCAUCUGUGGACAGGGGCCAUGCUCCUGGGCUUCCAAAGUUGGAGAAAGCUGCCAGGCUCAGGUCUGAAGGCCAGAAUUCUACAGUAAGUCCUACUGAGUCAAGGUGGGAGCAGGGUCGGUAGCUUCCGAGGCUCUGCGGGAGAAUCCGUUUCCUGGCCGUAGAGGUGGCCUGCACUCCGCAGCUUGUGCUGCCCGUCUCGAAUGACUGGAGUUUCCUGCUUCUGUCACUACACCUCCCACCCUCUCCAUCACCUGCUCUGCUCUUACAAGGAUCCGAAGAAAUGGAAUCAUCGUAUCGCUGAUCUACGUAAACAAACUGAAGAAUUGUCUGAAAGAAAAUAUGACAUGAACUUAUGAAUUCAACAGGUGAAGAUUUACAACUUGAUAAAUCAACUUUGUCAGCUCGAGCUGUAAAAGCCAAAGGUCCGGUGAUGAUCCCAUACCCUUUUUUCCAGUCUCAUGUUGAAGAUUUUUAUGUAGAAGGCCUUCCCAAAGGAAUUUUUUUUUUUUUUUUUUUUUUUUGAGAUGGAGUUUUCACUCUUAUCGCCCAGGCUGGGGUGCAAUGGCGCAACCUUGCUGGUCACUGCAACCUCUGCCUCCUGGGUUCAAGAAAUUCUCCUGCCUUAGCCUCCCAAGUCACUGGGAUUACAGGUGCCCACCACCAUACCAGGCUAAUUUUUGUAUUUUUAGUGGAGAUGCGGUUUCACCAU
RNAcentral lists this long non-coding RNA (1813 nucleotides) under Homo sapiens (human). RNAcentral describes it as "non-protein coding FAM157C:10". The record is from RNAcentral. Lineage: Eukaryota; Metazoa; Chordata; Mammalia; Primates; Hominidae.